GGCGGCAGGCCUAAUACAUGCAAGUCGAGGGGUGUAUUACUUCCGGGCAGAUAGAGAGCGGAGUACGAGUGCGUAACACCUCUGCAACCUGUGCACUACUGGGGGAUAACCCGGGGAAACUCGGGCUAAUACCGCAUAACACAGUGAUAUCGUAUGGUUUGAUUGUUAGAGAUUUAUCGGUAGCGGAUGCGCAUAGGUCGGAUUAGCUAGUAGGUGGCGUAACGGCUCACCUAGGCGACGAUCCCUAGGGGGUCUGAGAGGAUGACCCCCCACACUGGAACUGAGACACGGUCCAGGACUCCUACGGGAGGCAGCAGUAGGGAAUAUUGCACUUAAUUUUCGGGCGCAAGCCUGAUGCAGCCAUGCCGCGU
RNAcentral lists this ribosomal RNA (371 nucleotides) under Cytophaga sp. RNAcentral describes it as "bacterial SSU rRNA". It matches the Rfam family "Bacterial small subunit ribosomal RNA", at positions 38 to 402 of the family's 1533-position model. Lineage: Bacteria; Pseudomonadati; Bacteroidota; Cytophagia; Cytophagales; Cytophagaceae. The record is from RNAcentral.